ACUCCUACGGGAGGCAGCAGUGGGGAAUAUUGCACAAUGGGGAAAGCCCAUCGAUGCAGCAACGACCGCGUGGAGGAUGACACAUUUCGGUGCGUAAACUCCUUUUAUAUAGGAAGAUAAUGACGGUACUAUAUGAAUAAGCGCCGGCUAACUCCGUGCCAGCAGCCGCGGUAAUACGGAGGGCGCAAGCGUUACUCGGAAUCACUGGGCGUAAAGAGCGUGUAGGCGGAUCGAUAAGUCAGGAGUGAAAUCCUAUGGCUCAACCAUAGAACUGCUCUUGAAACUGUCAAUCUAGAGUAUGGGAGAGGUAGAUGGAAUUUCUGGUGUAGGGGUAAAAGUCCGUAGAGAUCAGAAGGAAUACCGAUUGCGAAGGCGAUCUACUGGAACAUAACUGACGCUGAGACGCGAAAGCGUGGGGAGCAAACAGGAUUAGAUACCCUGGUAGCUACGAGU
Molecule: ribosomal RNA, 453 nt
Filed under: uncultured bacterium
Lineage: Bacteria
Description: bacterial SSU rRNA
Rfam family: Bacterial small subunit ribosomal RNA
Source: RNAcentral